RNAcentral lists this ribosomal RNA (811 nucleotides) under Shewanella sp. Z50. RNAcentral's name for it is "bacterial SSU rRNA". It matches the Rfam family "Bacterial small subunit ribosomal RNA", at positions 55 to 859 of the family's 1533-position model. The record is from RNAcentral. Lineage: Bacteria; Pseudomonadati; Pseudomonadota; Gammaproteobacteria; Alteromonadales; Shewanellaceae.
AUGCAAGUCGAGCGGAUGAAGGGAGCUUGCUCCCUGAUUUAGCGGCGGACGGGUGAGUAAUGCCUAGGAAUCUGCCUGGUAGUGGGGGAUAACGUUCCGAAAGGAACGCUAAUACCGCAUACGUCCUACGGGAGAAAGCAGGGGACCUUCGGGCCUUGCGCUAUCAGAUGAGCCUAGGUCGGAUUAGCUAGUUGGUGAGGUAAUGGCUCACCAAGGCGACGAUCCGUAACUGGUCUGAGAGGAUGAUCAGUCACACUGGAACUGAGACACGGUCCAGACUCCUACGGGAGGCAGCAGUGGGGAAUAUUGGACAAUGGGCGAAAGCCUGAUCCAGCCAUGCCGCGUGUGUGAAGAAGGUCUUCGGAUUGUAAAGCACUUUAAGUUGGGAGGAAGGGCGUUUGGCUAAUAUCCAAGCGUUUUGACGUUACCGACAGAAUAAGCACCGGCUAACUUCGUGCCAGCAGCCGCGGUAAUACGAAGGGUGCAAGCGUUAAUCGGAAUUACUGGGCGUAAAGCGCGCGUAGGUGGUUCGUUAAGUUGGAUGUGAAAGCCCCGGGCUCAACCUGGGAACUGCAUCCAAAACUGGCGAGCUAGAGUACGGUAGAGGGUAGUGGAAUUUCCUGUGUAGCGGUGAAAUGCGUAGAUAUAGGAAGGAACACCAGUGGCGAAGGCGACUACCUGGACUGAUACUGACACUGAGGUGCGAAAGCGUGGGGAGCAAACAGGAUUUAGAUACCCUGGUAGUCCACGCCGUAAACGAUGUCAACUAGCCGUUGGGGUUCCUUGAGAACUUAGUGGCGCAGCUAACGCA